GGGGAAUAUUGCACAAUGGGCGCAAGCCUGAUGCAGCGACGCCGCGUGGGGGAUGACGGCCUUCGGGUUGUAAACCUCUUUCAGUAGGGACGAAGGGUGACUGACGGUACCUAUAGAAGAAGGACCGGCCAACUACGUGCCAGCAGCCGCGGUAAUACGUAGGGUCCGAGCGUUGUCCGGAAUUACUGGGCGUAAAGAGCUCGUAGGUGGUUUGUCGCGUUGUUCGUGAAAACUCACAGCUUAACUGUGGGCGUGCGGGCGAUACGGGCAGACUGGAGUACUGCAGGGGAGACUGGAAUUCCUGGUGUAGCGGUGGAAUGCGCAGAUAUCAGGAGGAACACCGGUGGCGAAGGCGGGUCUCUGGGCAGUAACUGACGCUGAGGAGCGAAAGCGUGGGGAGCGAAC
Molecule: ribosomal RNA, 405 nt
Filed under: uncultured bacterium
Lineage: Bacteria
Description: bacterial SSU rRNA
Rfam family: Bacterial small subunit ribosomal RNA
Source: RNAcentral